AUUAAAUGGCCGCAGUAUAUUAACUGUGCAAAGGUAGCAUAAUCAUUAGUCUUUUAAUUGAAGGCUUGUAUGAAUGGUUGGACGAGAUAUUAACUGUUUCAUAAAAAAUUAUAUUAAAAUUUUAUUUUUUAGUAAAAAAGCUAAAAUUUAUUUAAAAGACGAGAAGACCCUAUAAAUCUUUAUAUUAAAAUUAUUAUAAUUUUAUAGAUUAAUUUUAUUAUAAUAAUAAGUUAUAUUUUAUUGGGGUGAUAUUAAAAUUUAAUGAACUUUUAAUUUUGUUAUNCANUAAUUUAUGAAUAAUUGAUCCAUUAU
RNAcentral lists this ribosomal RNA (312 nucleotides) under Cuterebra baeri. Its description in RNAcentral is "partial 16S ribosomal RNA". Lineage: Eukaryota; Metazoa; Arthropoda; Insecta; Diptera; Oestridae. The record is from RNAcentral.